UACGGAGGGUGCAAGGGUUGUCCGGAUUCACGGGGUUUAAAGGGUGCGUAGGAGGGCAGGUAAGUCAGUGGUGAAAUCCCCGAGCUUAACUUGGGAACUGCCGUUGAUACUAUCUGUCUUGAAUAUUGUGGAGGUAAGCGGAAUAUGUCAUGUAGCGGUGAAAUGCUUAGAUAUGACAUAGAACACCAAUUGCGAAGGCAGCUUGCUACACAACUAUUGACUCUGAUGCACGAAAGCGUGGGGAUCAAACAGG
Molecule: ribosomal RNA, 253 nt
Filed under: uncultured bacterium
Lineage: Bacteria
Description: partial 16S ribosomal RNA
Rfam family: Bacterial small subunit ribosomal RNA
Source: RNAcentral